GAUGCGUGUGGUCAGACCUAG
This 21-nucleotide microRNA is filed under the name Anolis carolinensis (green anole). Its description in RNAcentral is "aca-miR-2188-3p". The record is from miRBase by way of RNAcentral. Lineage: Eukaryota; Metazoa; Chordata; Lepidosauria; Squamata; Anolidae.